UACAGAGGGUGCGAGCGUUGUCCGGAAUCACUGGGCGUAAAGGGCGCGUAGGUGGCGGGCCAAGUCCAUGGUGAAAGCUCGAUGCUCAACAUCGAGUCGGCCACGGAUACUGGUUUGCUGGAGCACUGUAGAGGCAGAUGGAAUUCCGGGUGUAGCGGUGGAAUGCGUAGAGAUCCGGAAGAACACCGGUGGCGAAGGCGGGUCUCUGGGCCGAUAUCGACGCUGAGGAGCGAAAGCGUGGGGAGCGAACAGG
RNAcentral lists this ribosomal RNA (253 nucleotides) under uncultured bacterium. Its description in RNAcentral is "partial 16S ribosomal RNA". It matches the Rfam family "Bacterial small subunit ribosomal RNA", at positions 524 to 776 of the family's 1533-position model. The record is from RNAcentral.